Long non-coding RNA from Equus caballus (horse), 1646 nucleotides. Lineage: Eukaryota; Metazoa; Chordata; Mammalia; Perissodactyla; Equidae. The record is from Ensembl.
GAGUUGAUAAGUAAUCCUCUGAGUGUGUUGGGUUGAAGUGUGGAACAUGAGCUUCGGAAAAACAGCAAGUCUUCUCUGCCCCUCCCUGACCUUCCCUCACCACCACUAUGUCUUACAAGCCAAGUGGCUUGCAGGUUGGAAGGGGUGAUGCACGGCGCAGAGCCCCAGAGAGAGGCUUUCCCAAUGACAGUCAUGCAAGAGAUACCACUUGGAUCGCACUGACUGUUGACAGUUCACCUGAAAUCUUUGUGUGUGUUUUCUUUCGACCUCUUAAAGGAUAACGCAUAACCAGAAAAGAGCACACCUGUCUUGACAUCUUUUGACACCGCCCAAAGCCUAACCUGAUUUCUGUCUCAAUCCUGACUCCUUUGCAGACCAUAUUUGCGUAAACGGGGGUUCAUCCAUCCAUCACCACAGUCAAGCUUCAGAACAGUUCUAUCACCACAAGGUGAUGGAGCUUCCUCCAGUACAUACUCUCUGCCAAGGCCAAGCCCAAAUCACAGCCCAUACUCAGACAAAGCAAAAGACUCCAGAGAAAAAAGUGGUGUCAGUCUCAGCGCAAUGAAGAACAGCUCUUCCUUCUACAGAAUUUUGGUUCAUCUAAUCAUCUUUGUUUCCACAGCUCUCUGAUGUCUUCAAAAAAGUAUGAUUUGGUAGUUUAUCAAGGUAUUUCUAGUUAUUACAAAGAGUGAUGCUCUUCUACUACUUAUGAUAUACUGCCCUGAGUUGGAUAUUCUACUUUAUACUACUACUUUUCUUUUUCCCCAUCAAAUUGCCUUGGAAAAAAUCGAAUAAUCACAUAAAUGUAAGUCCAUUUAUGGUCUCCAUUUUUCUGUUCCAUUGAUACAUGCCUGUACUUCUUCCAUUACUACAUGUUGAAAAUAUUGUAGGCUAUUGUAUGUCUUUAAAUAAGGCAAUAAAUCCUCCAAAUGUGUUUUUCUUCUUUAAGAUUGUAUUGCUUAUUCCAGAUUUUUUCCAUAUGAAUGAUAGAAUAAGUUUGUCAAUAUCUAGCAGAAAAACCUGUAGAGAUUUUGACUGUGAUUAUAUUUCACUUAUAUAUCAGUUUGAGAAGAAACAACUUCUUAACAAUAUAAUGUCUUCCAAUUCAUUAGCAUGCCUUAUUUCUCCGUUACUUAGAUUACCUUUAAUUUCUUCCAGUAAAGUUUUUUACUUUCUGUGUAGAGGUCUUUCAAGUCUCUUGUUAAAUGUAUUCCUAAGUAUUUUAUGUUUCUUUUAAUGCUAUUAUAAAAUAAAUUGUUUUAAAUAUCAUUUUCCAAUGGUUUGCUAUGAAAAUAUAAAAACUAAAUUGAUUUUUGUGUUGACCUUGUAUGUUGUGACUUUGUAGAAUUCAUUUAUUGGUUUUAAAGUGGCUUUAUUUUCAUAAUAUUCUACACAAUCUUAUCAUCUGUGUAAAAAAAGAAUUUUGCUUCUCCUUUUCCAAACUUAGUGCCUUUUAUUUCAUCAUCUUGCUUUAUUGUAUUAAGAUCUACAAUACUAUGUUUAAUAAAUGAGUGAGAGCAGACAACCUUGCCUUCUUAAAAUCCUAAGGAGAAAGCAUACAUUUUUCACCAUUAAGUAUAAUAAAUCUGCAGAGUUUUCAUGAAUAUCCAUUUGUUGCUUGCUAGACAUUUUUUGGCCAUAAAUAG